Molecule: long non-coding RNA, 516 nt
Filed under: Oryza sativa Indica Group (long-grained rice)
Lineage: Eukaryota; Viridiplantae; Streptophyta; Magnoliopsida; Poales; Poaceae
Description: lncRNA OsZS97_01G042740
Source: RNAcentral
CGAUCGAUCUCACAUCGCUCACGUACGCACGCGCCGCGCCGCGCCGCGUUCAUCGUCGUCGUCGUCGUCAACGACGACCAGACCGACCGGCGCCGUCCGGCCAUCCGCCGCAGCGCGCGCCGCUCAACGGCGCCCCUUCCCGGCCGGUGGCCAACCAUGCCCGUUCUGAUGCUCCCCCGGCAAUACGAUGCCGCCGCCGCUCCUCGACGGACGACGGUGACGAUCGAUGACAGCGAGGCGGCGCUGCUCGAGAGACUCCUCCGCCGGAUGGAAGAAGGCGACGACGCCGCCGCCGCCGGCGGCGACCAAACGCGAGCCAACGACCGGCGUUGCUUCUCGGGUUUUGGGGCUAUGGCGAGCUUAAUACUGGUGUCUUUUAGUCUGAUGGGUGAUAGUUCCUACUCACUGGCGCUUCGAAUAAUCAUCUCUCUUUCUCCCGCAGCAUUUGCUUUCUUUCUAACCCAAGAAAAUCCGUUUUUCUCACGAGAACCAUUCGUUCGUUUUUUUCUUCAAUGA